This 123-nucleotide ribosomal RNA is filed under the name Neogale vison (American mink). The record is from RNAcentral. Lineage: Eukaryota; Metazoa; Chordata; Mammalia; Carnivora; Mustelidae.
GUCUGCGGCCAUACCACCCUGAAUGUGCCUGAUCUCGUCUGAUCUUGGAAGCUAAGCAGGGUCGGGCCUGGUUAGUACUUGGAUGGGAGACAAAAGUCAGAAAGAUACUUACAACCAUAGACU